GUCAUGUUUCCCUCAGAACUCUACCACCAGCACUGAGGCCACUCGCCCUGAUCCUUUCCCAACAUUAAAGUCUUUUGGAAGAUCUUGGAGUGUUUUGUAAUAUUUCAAAGUGGACAAAAGAAAAAAAUAUAUCCUGCACUGAGGAAAGAUCAUCAUGGAGAAUCGAGUUCAGGGAGUUGGCCGGUGUAAGUUUGCCUUUUGGUUCGCUGUGUUCCAUGAUAUUCUUGGCCUCCUCAUCCUCUUGUCUGGUGUGUUUUGGAACAUCUUCUUCCAUGAUUUUUUGGUCUAUGCUGGAUCUUUGAUCAUCUUCCUGAGCCUGAUCUGGUGGGUGUUCUGGUACAGUGGUAACAUUGAGGUUCCUCCUGCAGAACUGGAGGAUGACAUUGCGCAGUAUAAAAAGAGCAAAGGGAUCUCUGGAGUUGUGCGCAAAGUUUCUAAUCGUAUUUCAAACGGACUGAGGAAUUCCUUCAGGAAGAGCGGGAGGUCCGGCAGGCAGGUGUGGAACUCUCGGCCAAACGGCACCAGUGGCUCAGUCUCUGCAGAGUGGCCUUCUAUCUCCAUGGUCUCCUAUAUCAACCCACCACCAGUGGACCCAUCCAACAGCAUGAACAGAGAAUCAUUAUCAAUAUGACCUAGAGACUUUGCACUACAGUGAGUGGAGUGUGCUGAUUGGUUGAAAUCCUUGGUCAUGUUUCCACAGCAAAGGACAACUUUACCUGCGCUCCAUCAAGAAAGCACUUAACCGGAAUGAUGUUGAUACGCUUUGAAUCUCCUGCUGAUUUGAUCAGAACUGCUUUAUUCUUGCAUAUUUAUAAUAUUUUGUAAAUGGUCUGUGUAAUAUGUAAUGUACUGUAUAUUGUGCAUAUUUACAAUAUGAUAAUGUAUACCAGUGAUUGUAAUUUCAAUUCAACAUAUGCUGUAUGUCAUGUAGCAUUAUUUACUGUUUUCUUCUGACAAACUCAAUACCUUGUAUGUUGUUCUAUACACCGGCUUGUGUUCUCCUUUUUAAAGUUCUGUUACCCUGUAGAGCAGGGGUGUAAAACUCCAAUUACAUAAAUGAACCAUAUUAAAAAAAUACAAAACUGGGG
This is a long non-coding RNA of Astyanax mexicanus (Mexican tetra), 1088 nucleotides long. RefSeq lists it as uncharacterized. The transcript has 2 exons. The record is from RefSeq and is a predicted model, not a curated record. NCBI's taxonomy places the organism in Eukaryota, Metazoa, Chordata, Actinopteri, Characiformes, Acestrorhamphidae.